UUCCGGUUGAUCCUGCCGGAGGUCACUGCUAUUGGGAUUCGGCUAAGCCAUGCAAGCGGAGGGCGCGGUCGAAAGAUCGUGGCCCCGCACACUGCUCAGUAACACGUAGUCAACCUACCCUUGGGACGGGGACAACCUCGGGAAACUGAGGCUAAUACCCGAUAGGUGAGGGACGCUGGGAUGCCUCCUCGCCCAAAGCUCCGGCGCCCAAGGAUGGGACUGCGGUCUAUCAGGCUGUUGGUGGUGUAACGGACCACCAAACCUACGACGGGUACGGGCGAUGGGAGUCGGAGCCCGGAGAUGGGGACUGAGACAAGGCCCCAGGCCCUACGGGGCGCAGCAGGCGCGAAAACUCCGCAAUGCGCGCAAGCGUGACGGGGGGAUCCCAAGUGCCGUUGGUCUUUCGAUCGACGGUUUUUAGGAAGUCUAAGAAGCUUCCAGAAUAAGGGCUGGGCAAGACUGGUGCCAGCCGCCGCGGUAACACCAGCAGCCCAAGUGGUGGCCACGAUUAUUGGGCCUAAAGCGCUCGUAGCCGGAUCAGCAAGUCCCUUGUGAAAUCGGGCCGCCUAACGGUUCGGCGUGCAAGGGAUACUGUUGGUCUUGAGGCCGGGAGAGGUCGGAGGUACUCCUGGGGUAGCGGUGAAAUGCUCUAAUCCUAGGGGGACCACCAGUGGCGAAGGCGUCCGACCAGAACGGACCUGACGGUGAGGGGCGAAGGCUAGGGGAGCGAACGGGAUUAGAUACCCCGGUAGUCCUAGCUGUAAAGCAUGCGGGCCAGGUGUCUAGUGCUCCUUGAGGGCACUAGGUGCCGGAGGGAAGCCGUUAAGCCCGCCGCCUGGGAAGUACGGGCCGCAAGGCUGAAACUUAAAGAAAUUGGCGGGGGAGCACACAGAGGUGGGACCUGCGGUCAAUUG
Molecule: ribosomal RNA, 914 nt
Filed under: uncultured archaeon
Lineage: Archaea
Description: bacterial SSU rRNA
Rfam family: Archaeal small subunit ribosomal RNA
Source: RNAcentral